UAGUCCCUUAUAAAUACAUCGUCUGCCGACAACAUUCCCCGUAUUUCGAUGAAAUCAAGGAACAUGAAAAUGAAAAACCUCGUACAAGUAUGUUAGUUGUGUCGGAGUUUAUCGGGUGUUCCCCGUCUCUAAGUGGGGCAAUCCGGGUCAACCCGUGGGACAUCGAAUCAGUCGCGGGAGCUAUAACUUCCGCCAUAACAAUGAAAGAACCCGAAAAGCAAUUAAGACACGAAAAACAUUAUCGUUACGUCAGCUCACAUGACGUGUCAUAUUGGGGUCGUAGUUUCAUGCAAGAUCUAGAAAGAGCUUCGAAAGAUCAUUAUAACAAACGGUGUUGGGGAAUCGGGUUUGGACUCGGGUUUCGGGUCGUUUCUCUUUCUCCUAGU
This 386-nucleotide long non-coding RNA is filed under the name Lactuca sativa (garden lettuce). RNAcentral's name for it is "long non-coding RNA (LSAT_LNC008953)". The record is from RNAcentral. Lineage: Eukaryota; Viridiplantae; Streptophyta; Magnoliopsida; Asterales; Asteraceae.